RNAcentral lists this ribosomal RNA (406 nucleotides) under Scolecithrix danae. RNAcentral's name for it is "eukaryotic LSU rRNA". It matches the Rfam family "Eukaryotic large subunit ribosomal RNA", at positions 331 to 666 of the family's 3401-position model. The record is from RNAcentral. Lineage: Eukaryota; Metazoa; Arthropoda; Copepoda; Calanoida; Scolecitrichidae.
AGACUGAUAGCAAACAAGUACCGUGAGGGAAGAUUGAAAAGAACUUUGAAGAGAGAGUUCAAUAGUACGUGAAACUGUGUGGUGGUAAACGGAGGGGUUCUCGAAGUUUCUGAGGGGAACUCAACCUUGGUGUCGGGCGGUCAGGGCGUAUCUGAUCAGCAAUGACUGUGCGUUUUGUCUGGCUUGGCUCUCGGGUGCAUUUCCCCCUCAGUUUACGGCAGGAACCGUUUGGCACGGACCGAAGGCCUCGGGUGAAGUUGUCGCUUAUGGUGGCAGCCCUGGGUGUCCUGGCUCUGAGCCCGACGGGUAUGUGAGAGGACUCGUAUAGCGAGCAAUGCUCUGUUGCGGUUCUCAUCUCUCUGCCGAGUAGGUCGGUGGCCCCUCCGACCCGUCUUGAAACACGGAC